Molecule: long non-coding RNA, 2004 nt
Filed under: Homo sapiens (human)
Lineage: Eukaryota; Metazoa; Chordata; Mammalia; Primates; Hominidae
Description: HSALNT0273984
Source: RNAcentral
GACCGAAGUAGCCGGGCAGGCUGGUAAGAACAGACAAAGUGAGCUAUUUUGAAGGGUAGUAAACUUUCGUCUUAGACUAAACUUUUUUGCUUCGGGUGACAGCAACUGAGGGCAGAGGCAGCAGACAAGCAGGCGUUGACGAUCCAAGCAGGGGCCUAGUGUAUCCUGUUUCUUCUGUAGUUUGCUGACCUAAGCUGAUUCAAGGCGCUUUGUCUUGGAAAUGGAGCACCGUAGACAUGAUCUCCUUCAGCAGGAAGUGUCACACAUGGAUUAACACCCCUGACUCCAGGUCUGACUGUUUGGCGUCAAAUUCUGGCUGCUGUGAUUUUAGGCCUUGCCCACGAGAUACUUGAUAGUCUUCCAGCUUUUAUUUUAUCUGUCCACUUUGAUCAACUUUGAUCAGCAUCAGCAUGAUUUCAAAGUCUUUGUCAAGAAACAGACGCUGGCGUUGGAUGAGGCAUGGGAAAGAUGAAGAGAGUUGGCUGAGAAGGACGUGGUCCCCAGCCCUGUUCUUGAGGCUGGGUCUUUAGGGGGCCAGGAGGUGCGGAGCUGAACGCUUCCCGCCUGAGGCUUCAUCCGCCCGCAAGUGCAUCAGGACUCUGCUUGCAAAGCGACGAUCAUUUCCUGGGUUAUCAGUCUGGAAGCUGCAUCCACAAAGAACAGGAGGCUGUUGGUUUUUGCUCAUGCAUUCAUUCCUUCGUUCAUUUGGCAUUCCUUGGAGUGCAGCCAGCAGCCACGGGGCGCAGGUGCAGUCCGUUCUGGGCCACACCUGAGAAGAGCUGCAAUCCUUGCCUCUUGUUGGAGGCUUUAGGCCCCACCUCGUGUCCUCCUGACCUACCUUUCUGCCUCAGCCCUGCUCUGGCAGCCGGCAGUGCACAGGUGGGGCCUGGCAGCCCUGUGCCUACGCAGCCCCACGUAUGUCCUGCUUCUUGCCUCGGGUUUCCCUACUGCCCCUGCGUGGGACUGGCGUCACCAUUCUGGGGGACAGGUAGAUCUUGAAAUGAUGAAACAUUAAUUCCCUGGGGCCAACCUUGACCAGUGAGUGACAAGAGAUGGAGGACAAAGGACAAACACUUGCCACUUGUAUCUUCCUUCUCAGAGGCUUCUCUGUGGGUCUCCAGGGUCCCCAGCAGGAGGCAGCGAAUCCCAGCUGCCCACAGCCUAGUAAUCCAGUGUGGGUUCCCUUCUUCCCUGUUUUCCUCCUCCCAGCCCGGACCUGUUCCUGGAAUCACUUCCCAGAACUCACCACUAGGCCACAAGCUCUUGUUAUUUGAGGAAGGUAGCUAAGGCAGCCACAGGGAGCUCACAGUGUAGGGAGAUGGAGCCAGGCACCCAGGAACCAUCUCAACCCACGUGGUGAGGGCCACGAGGCAUUUCCCAGAGCCUGUGGCACAGAAGAAAGCCAGCCCGGUCCCCUGGGGCAGGUCAGGGGAAGGCUGAACUGGGUCUUGAAGAGGAAGUGGGGGAGGGAGGGACACUCUAGAGCGCAGGAGCAGUGAGUUCAAAGGCCAGGAAAUGUGAGGAGGCCGGGCUCCAUGGAGACUGGGCCCUAUUCUUCUGGUAGAUCUGCCCGGAUAUCCAGCGUGUUUGAUUGGACCUGGUUGAGAUGAGUUUGGAACUGAAGGCAUUUCCUGGCCAAAGUGCAAAGUGACCUUGGAGAGAAUUCAGUUUUCCUCAGAGGGGAUGAGGAACUCCCACCCUGGGAUCAAGCGAGGAAGAACUGCCAUCAAGUUUGUGUGUCCUCUACAGCCUCGCUAUUCCAGUGUGUGGGCCAGGACAGCAGCUUCCACACCACCUGGGAGCGUGUUGGAAAUGCAGAGUGUCAGGCCCCGCCCUGGACCUGUGGAACCAAACCCUGCAGUUUCGUAAGAGCCCAGGGUUUUGAAUGCACAUUAAAAUUUGGGAAGUCCUGUCCUAGGGCACUUUGCAGAAGAUGCUUUUGACCGGGCUUGGGGCAGGGCAGCAGAGUUCUGUAAGGGAAAGGGUCUUCGAUGAGAGAGGAGA